GCCCGAGUGGUGAAAUUGGUAGACGCAGGGGACUCAAAAUCCCCCGCCGCGAGGCGUGCCGGUUCGAGUCCGGCCUCGGGCACCA
Molecule: transfer RNA, 85 nt
Filed under: Comamonadaceae bacterium
Lineage: Bacteria; Pseudomonadati; Pseudomonadota; Betaproteobacteria; Burkholderiales; Comamonadaceae
Also listed under: 2 other names
Description: tRNA-Leu
Rfam family: tRNA
About the family: Transfer RNA (tRNA) molecules are approximately 80 nucleotides in length. Their secondary structure includes four short double-helical elements and three loops (D, anti-codon, and T loops).
Source: RNAcentral